UACGGGGGGGGCUAGCGUUGUUCGGAAUUACUGGGCGUAAAGGGCGCGUAGGCGGUCUGCUAAGUUGGAUGUGAAAACUCUGGGCUUAACCCAGAGCCUGCAUUCAAUACUGACAGGCUAGAGUUCUGGAGGGGAUAGCGGAAUUCCAGGUGUAGCGGUGAAAUGCGUAGAUAUCUGGAGGAACACCGGUGGCGAAGGCGGCAUCCUGGACCAUUACUGACACUGAAAAGCGAAAGCCAGGGGAGCAAACGGG
RNAcentral lists this ribosomal RNA (253 nucleotides) under uncultured bacterium. Its description in RNAcentral is "partial 16S ribosomal RNA". It matches the Rfam family "Bacterial small subunit ribosomal RNA", at positions 524 to 776 of the family's 1533-position model. The record is from RNAcentral.